AAUCAAGUGCCUUAAGGGUGUUCGGUGGAUGCCUUGGCGCUGAGAGGCGAUGAAGGACGUGCUACGCUGCGAUAAGCCGUGGGGAGCUGCGAAGAAGCUUUGAUCCACGGAUUUCCGAAUGGGG
RNAcentral lists this ribosomal RNA (124 nucleotides) under Bradyrhizobium sp. S2.7. RNAcentral describes it as "partial 23S ribosomal RNA". It matches the Rfam family "Bacterial large subunit ribosomal RNA", at positions 1 to 123 of the family's 2925-position model. RNAcentral also lists the same sequence under 6 other names. Lineage: Bacteria; Pseudomonadati; Pseudomonadota; Alphaproteobacteria; Hyphomicrobiales; Nitrobacteraceae. The record is from RNAcentral.